GUCGGGAUAGCUCAGUUGGUAGAGCAGAGGACUAAAAUCCUCGUGUCCCCCGUUCCAAU
Molecule: transfer RNA, 59 nt
Filed under: Lycoris anhuiensis
Lineage: Eukaryota; Viridiplantae; Streptophyta; Magnoliopsida; Asparagales; Amaryllidaceae
Description: partial tRNA-Phe
Source: RNAcentral